RNAcentral lists this ribosomal RNA (252 nucleotides) under uncultured bacterium. Its description in RNAcentral is "partial 16S ribosomal RNA". It matches the Rfam family "Bacterial small subunit ribosomal RNA", at positions 524 to 775 of the family's 1533-position model. The record is from RNAcentral.
UACGUAGGGUGCGAGCGUUAAUCGGAAUUACUGGGCGUAAAGCGUGCGCAGGCGGUUUUGUAAGCCAGAUGUGAAAUCCCCGGGCUUAACCUGGGAAUGGCAUUUGGGACUGCAAGGCUUGAGUGCGGCAGAGGAGACUGGAAUUCCUGGUGUAGCAGUGAAAUGCGUAGAUAUCUGGAGGAACACCGGUGGCGAAGGCGGCAUCCUGGACCGGUAUUGACGCUGAGGCGCGAAAGCCAGGGGAACAAACGG